AGCUACAAUGUUUUGUCAUUAUUCACUCUGAUGUGAAAAAGGCAGUGAAUUUAAUAGAAAAUAACUUCGUAGAGCAAAAUCUCAGGUGUGUUUUUUUAGUGCCGCAGUCUUGGAUGAUGGGUUCCUAGAAGCUCUCAACAUCUCUUCUUAAUUGGAGAAAGUGUUAAGCCCCAAAGUAGCUGGAGCAGUACAUCUUCAAUUUUUGACAAGAAAGCAGGAACUUGAUUACUUUGAGUGCUAUUCAUUAGUUUCUGCUUUCAUUGAGAAUGCAACAAAAGCCAACUAGGCUGCUGCUAACUCCUUGCUGGACUUCUUCUGCCACUGUCACAGGAACUGUAAUCUCACUGGACAAUUAACUAGGGAGUCUUUCAUCUUGAGUGACUGCUGCACAAAUGAUCUUCAAAGCAUUUUAGCCACCAGAGGAAUUCUCUUGAAAUACCCAAAAUCCAUCAGUAUCUUGAAUCAUGCUGGAUUUUGAAGAAUUCUUAACAAGCCAUGUAAAGGGGGCUCUCUGGCCUUGAAAUAGUGAUGUUUUUUAUACAGAAAGGAGAAUGCAGAAUGGUCAGACUACCAUGCACUGUUAAAUUUGAUUUCAAGAAAUUACAGGAAAACUUUCCAAAGUUCCAUCUCACAGAAAUUAUUUUUACAAAGAAUUCCAAGAUAAGUUUAGUUUUAUGGAAGACUUUUAUGUGGUUUUUACUCACUCUUCAUCUCAGACAUCAACAGAUGAUUACAUCACUUAUUUAGCUAGUAAAUUUAUUAAUAUAAAAACUCAGAGACAUUCCAAUAUCCACAUUGCUUACACCAUUAGUCAUAGAUUCAGUGUCAGCUAUGACAAUUGAAAAUAAGCUGUUUUGUGAUUUAAAGGUUUAAAUUUCUCUAACCAAACUGCUUGAUCCAGAUGCAGGACUGCAAAUGUUAAUAUUUGUUCUGGAAGAACAAUCAAAUAAGACUUAAGAGGAAAAGGAAUGGCCACAAUCCACCUGAAAUUUUUUUUUAAAAAGUGUGCAGCCUACUAAAUCAGAAUGAAAAUAGAAGUACAAGAUUAUAAACAAAAUGCAAUCAAACUUUUCUUAAGCUUACCUAAAGUUAUUUCAUCUGAAAAUUUCAAGCAACUUUGUUCAACAUUAAAUUGACAAUCUAAACUAACAAGUCUUUUGAAUUUAUGCAUGGUAGUAAACAUUCUCUCUAUUAACUUUAUUACCUAAGGCUAAACCUAAAAUUUUUAAGCAAAAUUAGAAAAAUAGUCUUCACUCAUCAAAAAAUAAAGUUUGUUACAUUUAGUAUUUUCCCAAUAAAAUUGGUCGUUCUUGGUUUUUUAUUUGGAGAGUCUGUGCAAAAUGUCACUAAAAAUAAAUUAGCACUAGAAAUUAUUUCUAAAUACCAAA
Molecule: long non-coding RNA, 1388 nt
Filed under: Homo sapiens (human)
Lineage: Eukaryota; Metazoa; Chordata; Mammalia; Primates; Hominidae
Description: non-protein coding lnc-POTEH-4:1
Source: RNAcentral